RNAcentral lists this ribosomal RNA (150 nucleotides) under uncultured bacterium. RNAcentral describes it as "partial 16S ribosomal RNA". It matches the Rfam family "Bacterial small subunit ribosomal RNA", at positions 382 to 522 of the family's 1533-position model. The record is from RNAcentral.
UCUGACGGAGCGACGCCGCGUGAGCGCAAGAAGGCCUUCGGGUCGUAAAGCUCUGUUGUUAGGGAAGAACAAGUACCGUUCGAAUAGGGCGGUACCUUGACGGUACCUAACGAGAAAGCCCCGGCUAACUACGUGCCAGCAGCCGCGGUA